GGGCAACUGUUAAGAUUCCUAAUUAUCUACCUUCCGUUAACAGCUAAUAUUAGAUAGUGUUCGUGCAUGUCAGCUACCACUUUGAGAACGCACACUAAAAUGGAGAGAGAAAUUCAUCGAAAACGGAAGUUGGAUAACAGGAAGUAAUAUAUCUGCAAAAUGAGUCAUCAAGAAGAGUUAGAGAAAAAGAAAUAUAGAAACUGGGUGAGAGGUGGACUGGCGUAUAAAUAUCUUAAAGAAGGUAUCAAAGGUUUUGCUGAUAAUGUGGUUCAAGAAGAACGUAGGAGAAUUAAUCAGGAUGUCAUAUCCAGACGUAGCUGUAAUCAGUGCAGCAUUAGAAACCUGCGACCAUUGCAUACUUGUAAAAAGGACCAUGCCGGCAAAAACAAAUGUCCAUGGGGCCAGAACAGCUGUAACUGUCUGUAUACAAAGAAAAAACAAUGUCCUAAUAAAGUAUGCGACGCUAUUAUGGAAGAAAUUCUGAAAAAUCACGGAUCGACGCCGCCUUCACCAAACUGGAAAAAUACAGAUAUACAGAAAUGGUGUUCGGAUCCAUGGGAGAUUGCAAACUGUUUCAUCAAUGCGCCAGGAUAUUCUGACAAGUCUAGGGCAGAUGAUAUUGACAUUUCAGGGCUACUUCAUGUUUUAUCAACAAUAUCAGUCACAAAACACAUUUGUCCGACAAUAUAAACAGUGGCGAUAUAUUUCAGAAGACACUACAAAGAAGAAAUGAAUUAUUCCAUUCACCGACCAUGGAAAUGGAAGACUCCAAGCUGGAUGAAUGUAUAGAUGAAAUCAUAACAAUUCUUGAGGACCAAAAAGAAUUGAAAGCAAUGCAUGAUGCUCAAGAAGCAGUCUUCAAACUU
Long non-coding RNA from Mercenaria mercenaria, 866 nucleotides. RefSeq lists it as uncharacterized. NCBI's taxonomy places the organism in Eukaryota, Metazoa, Mollusca, Bivalvia, Venerida, Veneridae. The transcript has 3 exons. The record is from RefSeq and is a predicted model, not a curated record.